UACGUAGGUGGCAAGCGUUGUCCGGAAUUAUUGGGCGUAAAGCGCGCGCAGGUGGUUUAAUAAGUCUGAUGUGAAAGCCCACGGCUCAACCGUGGAGGGUCAUUGGAAACUGUUAAACUUGAGUGCAGGAGAGAAAAGUGGAAUUCCUAGUGUAGCGGUGAAAUGCGUAGAGAUUAGGAGGAACACCAGUGGCGAAGGCGGCUUUUUGGCCUGUAACUGACACUGAGGCGCGAAAGCGUGGGGAGCAAACAGGAUUAGAUACCCCGGUAGUCC
This 273-nucleotide ribosomal RNA is filed under the name uncultured bacterium. RNAcentral's name for it is "partial 16S ribosomal RNA". It matches the Rfam family "Bacterial small subunit ribosomal RNA", at positions 524 to 796 of the family's 1533-position model. The record is from RNAcentral.